RNAcentral lists this long non-coding RNA (201 nucleotides) under Elaeis guineensis (African oil palm). Its description in RNAcentral is "long non-coding RNA (EGUI_LNC055494)". Lineage: Eukaryota; Viridiplantae; Streptophyta; Magnoliopsida; Arecales; Arecaceae. The record is from RNAcentral.
UGCCGUAUGAUGGCCGCGAUCUGUGCCUCCGUGGUCACCGCGGGGUGUGGAGAGCUGGGCUCCACCGCCGGUGGUGGCGGGGAGGCCUCUUCCCGACGGGAAGAGCGCCUUGCCGAUCCAGUGAUUCUCGAUCGUUGAGCUCUUGUCUUUGUCAUGCUGUCCCCUACCUGGUGCGCCAAUCUGUUGCGGCCAAUCGCCUCG